AGGAAAUAGAUACCCCGGUAGUCCACGCCCUAAACGAUGUCAACUGGUUGUUGGUGGGGUUAAACCCAUUAGUAACGAAAGCUAAACGCGUGAAAGUUGACCGCCUGGGGAGUACGGCCGCAAGGUUAAAACUCAAAGGAAUUGACGGGGACCCGCACAAGCGGUGGAUGAUGUGGAUUAAUUCGAUGCAAACGCGAAGAACCUUACCUACCCUUGACAUGCCAGGAAGCCGGGUGAGAGCUCGGUGUGCCCGAAAGGGAGCCUGGACACAGGUGCUGCAUGGCUGUCGUCAGCUCGUGUCGUGAGAUGUUGGGUUAAGUCCCGCAACGAGCGCAACCCUUGUCACUAGUUGCUACGGGAAAGCUGAGCACUCUAGUGAGACUGCCGGUGACAAACCGGAGGAAGGUGGGGAUGACGUCAAGUCCUCAUGGCCCUUAUGGGUAGGGCUUCACACGUCAUACAAUGGCGCAUACAGAGGGCUGCCAACCCGCGAGGGGAGCCAAUCCCAGAAAGUGCGUCGUAGUCCGGAUUGCAGUCUGCAACUC
This 545-nucleotide ribosomal RNA is filed under the name uncultured bacterium. RNAcentral's name for it is "bacterial SSU rRNA". It matches the Rfam family "Bacterial small subunit ribosomal RNA", at positions 773 to 1313 of the family's 1533-position model. The record is from RNAcentral.